RNAcentral lists this ribosomal RNA (440 nucleotides) under uncultured bacterium. Its description in RNAcentral is "partial 16S ribosomal RNA". It matches the Rfam family "Bacterial small subunit ribosomal RNA", at positions 338 to 795 of the family's 1533-position model. The record is from RNAcentral.
CCUACGGGUGGCUGCAGUGGGGGAUAUUGCACAAUGGGGGAAACCCUGAUGCAGCGACGCAGCGUGUGGGAAGACGGUCUUCUGGAUUGUAAACCACUGUCCCAAGGGACGAAAAUGACGGUACCUGGGGAGGAAGCUCCGGCUAACUACGUGACAGCAGCCGCGGUAAUACGUAGGGAGCAAGCGUUGUCCGGAAGUACUGGGUGUAAAGGGAGCGUAGGCGGGGAUGCAAGUUGGGUGUCAAAACUACCGGCUCAACCGAUAGUCGCACUCAAAACUGCAGCGCUUGAGUGAAGUAGAGGCAGGCGGAAUUCCUAGUGUAGCGGUGAAAUGCGUAGAUAUUAGGAGGAACACCGGUGGCGAAGGCGGCCUGCUGGGCUUUUACUGACGCUGAGGCUCGAAAGUGUGGGGAGCAAACAGGAUUAGAUACCCCAGUAGUC